GACGAACGCUGGCGGCGUGCCUAAUACAUGCAAGUUGAGCGCUGAAGGUUGGUACUUGUGCCAACUGGAUGAGCAGCGAACGGGUGAGUAACGCGUGGGGAAUCUGCCUUUGAGCGGGGGACAACAUUUGGAAACGAAUGCUAAUACCGCAUAAAAACUUUAAACACAAGUUUUAAGUUUGAAAGAUGCAAUUGCAUCACUCAAAGAUGAUCCCGCGUUGUAUUAGCUAGUUGGUGAGGUAAAGGCUCACCAAGGCGAUGAUACAUAGCCGACCUGAGAGGGUGAUCGGCCACAUUGGGACUGAGACACGGCACAAACUCCUUCGGGAGGCAGCAGUAGGGAAUCGUCGGCAAUGGGCGAAAGUCUGACCGAGCAACGCGGCGUGAGGGAAGAAGGUUUUCGGGUCGUAAAACUCUGUUGGUAGAGAAGAACGUUGGUGAGAGUGGAAAGCUCAUCAAGUGACGGUAACUACCCAGAAAGGGACGGCUAACUACGUG
RNAcentral lists this ribosomal RNA (497 nucleotides) under uncultured bacterium. RNAcentral describes it as "partial 16S ribosomal RNA". It matches the Rfam family "Bacterial small subunit ribosomal RNA", at positions 28 to 507 of the family's 1533-position model. The record is from RNAcentral.